AAAUACUAUACUCUGAAAAAAAAAUCGUUUAAUUCUUCAAAGAAAUUCAGUUUAAUUGUCAUAGAGGCAUUAUUUUGUUAAAGUAGCUCAUUUGUCAAAAAAAAAAUUUAAGGGACAGUCCAUGUAAACUUGUUAAGUGACCCUUUGAUUAAAAUAUGUCAUUAAUAGUUCGCAAUGAUACCCUUAAUUAUAUAUCGAUGGCGGUCAUGAUGAACAAAUCUUUUAAGGUUGAGGUUAAAGGUACCUGUGUGUUUCCAAGGUUGAGUUUAAAGGUACCUGUGUGUAUCCAAGGUUGAGGUUAAAGGUACCUUUGUGUUUCCAAGGUUGAGGUUAAAGGUACCUUUGUGUAUCCAAGGUUGAGUUUAAAGGUACCUUUGUGUAUCCAAGGUUGAGGUUAAAGGUACCUUUGUGUUUCCAAGGUUGAGGUUAAAGGUACCUUUGUGUUUCCAAGGUUGAGGUUAAAGGUACCUUUGUGAAUUGUUGAUGUUACUCAGGAAAUGAAUGGUCACCUUUAAUUACGAUGACAGUCCCUUUAAAUUGUUUUCCUAUUUUGUGAUCCUCGUGCUGUGACAAAAUUUGUGAUUUAAAAUUCAUAAAUUGUAAAAAAAAAUAUUUUUUAAUCGUUUAUUUUUCUGUUUUAUUUUUGGAUUCGAUAAUUUUUUCAGUUCAAGUUUUGUCACAAUAAUUUCUUUUUUCCUGAAGUGGAGAACCCAUCUACAACUAAAAUCACACGAAAAACUAAAUUUAUAAAUCAUAAAACAUCUUAAAAGAAAUGGUAACUAAUUUUUGAAAAGUAAAUUUUGUCGGUUGGUACAUUCAGACCAGACAGUUGUAAAGAUUCACUUUAAAAUACUCGGCUAAUUCAAUUUUAAUAAAAUUUCAUUUAAGAUUGUAAAAUUAAAGAAAGUUCCAAAUCAUAUCAUGUUUACGUGUUUGUGCACUGAUGCAGGGUGUUCCAUUAAACAUGGGAUUUUAUAGACGACUUAAUGGUCUGAAUAGUAGAAUAAAGCUAAGCUUGUAUACGUGAGCUUUCCUGUAUAUCUUAAUGGUUAUGUGAAUUCCGGAAAAAAAAAUAUAAACACGUACACAGAAGAUGACAUUCCUCAUAUCUCAUGACUAGGUGUAUUCGGUUUCAAUUGUUACAACGGCAAUACUUCAAUUUUUGGUUGAACGCGAUAAAUGUUGCUUUUGCUAAAGUUGGCAUUUAUUUCAUUUGUUUGUUGGGACACCCUGUGUUGUUUUCGGUAUUUAUCCUGUUAUAUGAGAGAUUUAAGAUUCUACUUUUAACAAUUUGAUAAAAUGACACACAGCGUAAUAACAUACACAAGAAAGUGCUUGAAAUAUUUAUUCACGUAAAAUGCAGAUAUUAUUAUAUUUAUCAUUUGUGUAAAAAUAUUUUAUUUUUGGAUAAAUAUUGUUUUUUUGAAAAAGUAGAAUUUCAAAUACUACUCUGUUUAUAUAUCUUAUUGUAGUUUAAAUUGUCAGAUUGUUGUCAAAACAUUUUACUGGGUACAAUGUGCCCUGUACUUAGUCCUUAGUCUCAAAGUACCCAGUACAUAUUGCCAAGAAAAACUAAAAUCAUAAAAAACGUGUGCGAAAUAAAACUUGAAUUUUAA
RNAcentral lists this long non-coding RNA (1616 nucleotides) under Eurytemora carolleeae. RNAcentral describes it as "uncharacterized LOC111709488". Lineage: Eukaryota; Metazoa; Arthropoda; Copepoda; Calanoida; Temoridae. The record is from RNAcentral.